UAAAACUCCAAGCAGGCCGGCCUCAUCCUGUUUCUUAACGGUAACCUCUCCCAAUCUUAAAUUACUAAUUAAUUUAGCUGUUUUCUUACAAUUCAGAUGGAAAAUAGGAUCUGUGGAGUUUUGGAACUUUGAAUUUUAUUUGCAUCGCGUAAUAGACUUGAUUCCAGACAGGGUAAUGGUCGGUCUCUUAUUAGGUAUUGAAAAUUAUUUGUAUCAUGUAAUAGAUUUGAUUACAGACAGGGCAAUGGUCGGUCUCUUAUUAGGUUUUGAAAAAUUUUAUAUUUUUAUGUACCUUAAAAUUUAGAUUUUAAGUUUUCUAUUCAAUUUUCCAGCCCCAUUUCAUAUUGGCAUGUUGCAGUCAGUCUCUUCCUUAUAUUAGGAUGAUGACUCGAAAGAGAAAGGAACGUUUGAACUCUGUUUAGAAAUAAAUAUACAGGUUAAUCCCAACCCUCAUCUGAACUAUGGAUUUGACUGAAGAUUAUAAGGUAUGACAUUGAUUGGUAUUUUAUUCAUUUUUAAGGUAUUUUGUUCAUUUUUAAAAUGUUUAACUUUAUUUGUUAUAACUUGAUUAAUCUUCUGCUUCGUUGUUUGGUAGCCCUGGAUGAGCAAAAGCAAUGUCACAAAUCAUCAAGAAAAAAGAUGAUAAGAAGUAUUUCCUGAAGAAAUCUUUUUCAACAUAGUUUCAAGGCUGCCCCCAAAAUUCGUAGGGCAUUUUACCACCAUCAAAAAAUCACGGUAUGCUUUUAUUACAUCUCCAGUCUUUAUUUCCAUUGAUUUGAAAUAAGGCCUGACCUCAGAAUUUUGAGUCCUAGACUACUAAUUAUAGUUAAUUCAUUCAAUCUCUUUUGUGACAUGAUUGAUUGAAGAUAAGAUUUAAUCAAUCUAAGUUUUGAAAAACUUCUUUCGACCGUGACAACGAUGACAUGAAUAGCCAGUAAUACUUUAUAAGCAAUCCAAGCAUUUGCAAAACAACAAUUCAUUAUCAAUGUAAUCUAAAACAUCAAUUGCUCCGUUAGUUUUAGUAGGUAUCACUUCUCUUUUGACUUUCAACUUAGAAAAUGAUUUUAUUUCAUUAAUGUUAGAAAUCAUGUUAUGCUUCAAGUCAUUUUCAAGGUUAAUGCAAGAACACUUCAAACUAGUAAAAUAGAUACAUUUAGGUUUUUUUUUUUUUCAAAUCAAAUAAAAAUUCAAAAAUAUCAUCAUAUUUUGGAAAUUGUUCAAAUCUAUUUUGAAGUGUUGAUAGAGCUUUUGCUUUUGAUCUAUUGUAUACAUGAAAUAAUUGACCCUGAAAGAUUCUUCAACUAUUUAUGUCAUUUCUUCACAAGAAGUUCAUAAAAUUGCUUCUUUAUGUGUACAACUCGUUUUUCACAAAAUAUCGGUUCAAUUUAUAUUUCACUUGCAAUUUCUUUUGCAUCAAUAUUGGCCAAUUCAAGCCUAUCUUUUAAAAACUGAAAUGAGCAAUUAUAAAUGGUCUAUAACAACAUCAAUAUGCAUGUCUUCUGUUUGCAAGUGUUUGCUUUACCUUGUUAACAUUAUUCAACACUUCAUACCAAAUAACCAUCCCAAAGAAGAAUUAAAAAUUCUCAAUUUCAUAUGUUGUCGCACAUUCUACCUCACUUCUUGUUUUAGGAUCAUAAAUACUUGUCAAUUGAUAUAGAGCAUUUUACAUUUAAAUGGCAUUUGUGAUAAGGGUUAAGUUGUAACGACCUGUCUUGUAUGCCGAAACCGUUAUAUCAUACGUACUGUCCGCUUUAAAUGAACAUUUGUCCACUUGACCCCUCACGGUUUUCUAUCGCGUCAUCGAGGAUUCAAAUCCAAAAUCUCUGUCUAAUGAUUUAAGUUGAAUCUUAGUACCAACUAGACAAGGCAACUUAAAAUGCAAGUUCAAGGCGAUCAGAAGUGAAUUGUGGUUGCGUGGGUGAAAAAGGAAGAAUAAAUUAUGUAGUUAAGGAUUUUAAUAAUGUUCAUUGUAUUUUUCUUAAAACUAAUUUUAAAUUCUCUCAUGUGAAGAAAAAAUUAUGUUUUUCUUUUGUUUAUGAAUUAUUCUUUUACUAUACAUGUAUAAUGAUUCCAAAAGUAAAAAUUUGGGGUGUUACAUAAGUCAUUUACAUUAUCUUUGAAAAAUUUUCAUCGUUUAGUAGAUGAUGAAAAUAAAGCGCAUGUAUGUUGCACCAUUUCGAAGAAAGAUGUAGCUUUUGAACAAUAAGUUGUCAUAUCAUAAAGUGUAAGACAAGACUAUGGUGCCAACAAGAGUGUAAAAUGCUCUAGGCUUUACUUGUAGUCUAUUUUGCAAUCCUUUAUGUUUUUCUUUCAUGUUAGCGACGUUAACAUAGCCUUGACCUCUAAUAUCAUUAGUAUCAAGUUCUAAAUUAUUUAAAGCAUCCACAAGUUUAUCAAAUUGUUUCUUCCCAACUAUAUCAUCUACUAAUAAAAAUCCUUUAAAAAAUUCUUUUGCAUUCAUUGGACUUGCUAAAAUACCUACACACCUCAAUAGUACAUUUGUUCUUCAUGACUUGGAUAUGGAGUGCAAUCAAGUAUACCAAAAAAAGUACUUGAUUAAGAUUUUUGGAGUUUCUCAAUAAUUAUUUUCUUAAUUCACUCGCUAACAUACUUAUCAUCUCAUUGUAUUUUAUGCCCAAGAUGAUGAUAAUAAGUCCUCUUUUUUUGAAUUCAGUGAAUUUUCUCUUUGAAUAUAGAAUUAUAGUGUCAUACUCACCAAUAAUUUGAAUUAAGCUUAAGAUGUCACUAUUUCUUGGUAUAUCUUCUCAUUAUCUCCAUGACGUGCUGAAUAUUUUAUCAUAACUUUUGAAUAUAUGAACCACUUUCUGUUGUACUUCUCUCCAUUAAUCAUCAAACGUAAUCUGCUAAGCAAAAGUGUCGCUUCGCUACAUCUUUCAGAAAAAUCACAUUAUUCUCUUAUAGGACCUUUUUAACAAUUAAAUUCCUUAAGUUCUAAUUCAUAUUUCCCAAAUUUGCUUGAUCAGUAAGUGGUUCAUUAUCCCUUUUAUUCAUGUUUCUAUCUUUCAUAAUAUCAUCUUCAGCAGAUACUUUUCUAUUCACCAAACAGUGUUAUUCAUCAAUUGGACUAUCUCUUAUAUGUUUCAUUAAACCCUCCUACAGGAACUAUUUUUUCACUAUGCAUUUGUUUACUGCUAAUAAAAAACUUAUCAUGUGCUCCCUCUUGAGAUUUAAUUAAUUGUUCAACCUUUUUAUUCAUUUUUCUUUUGGCAUAUCCGAAUUCAAAUAAUCUAGUAGACAUAAUUAUAAGCAACGAAUAGUAAAACUUGAUUGAUAAGUCUGAAUUAAAAAUAUUGCAAAUUUUGCCGGUGAAGGGAUUUAGCAAUUAGUUUGCAAGAAAUAAUCAAACACCAUUUAAAAUGCGAAUUUAUCGAUCAUUGACCAAUUGAAUAUAUUUAUGUGUCAUGUGAAAACAAUAAUAAAGCAUUUCCUCUUACACAAAAUUGACAUUAUUUAAUAUUUCUUGCAAACUGAAUACGAAAGAUAAAAACAAUGAAAAUGGAGGCGAGAAAUAUAUGUGGUUUGGAAAGGAGACCAACAGAAAAAAACAGAGGCAAUUAGUCACGAUGCAUUGGUCUGUUAUGCUGGAAUCGCUAACAAGAAACUGAGAAAAGAGUUGAGGGAAGAUGUCAUCGAUCUAUAAAAUUUCUAUAUUCAAACUAACCUAGGCAAUUGAAUACUAGAAACGGGUUGGGAGGCUAACUAUAGGAUAGGUCUUUACCUACUAUACUAAUUUAGUAAUUUAGUUUGGAUCUAAGAAGCCUACCAUGUAGUAUAUUUGGGCCCCUUAAAUUUUGAGGCCCUAGACUAUUGUCUAGGUUGCUUUGGCCCAGGGCCAUCAGAGCUAGCAUAAUCUUCUCUUCGAUAGGCUUUACCAAUAGGCUCGACUUUAGGCCAAAGUCACUUAGCAAUGGCCUACGGCCUUAAAAUUUGAGGUGCCUAAAAGAACUAUAUAUUAGACUUAUUCUGUAAGGCCUAGAUUAUACAAAAUUAGUGUAGUUGGUAAAGAAACUGCCUCACAACCCAACCAUCAAUAUUCAAUUGUCCUAUGUUAGUUUGAAUAAGCAAAUUUCAUAUGUCAUCGAUUUUCUCUUGGUCCAUUUCUCAGUUGCUUGCUAUUGAUUCCGACUUUGUCGAUCGACUUGUUUUGGAAUCACAUUGCAUCUGUCGUUAAUUGACCCAUUUUUUUGAUAGUUGAUCCUUAUCUCUUUCUUGUCUCCCUUUCUGUUGUCUUUAUCCUUUAGUAUUCAACAAGAAAAAUUAAAUAUGUCAAUUUUGUUGAUUAAAUGAAAAUAUUAUCUUCCUUUAUGUUGUAUGGGAGCUCAAAAUACUUUAUUAUUGUUUUCAUAUAUAAAUAUAUUCUAAUUGGUCAUUGAUCAAUUAAUUUCUAUUCUAAAUGGUGUUUAAUUAUUUCUUAUUGUUGUUGGAUCGUUUUUGGGGUACUUUUAAUUCGUACUUAUCAACUAGGUUCUAUUACUCUUUGCUUAUAAUUAAUUAUGUUUACUAGAAAAUUUGAAUUUAGAUAUGCCAAAAAAACAAAACAAAAAAAAACAAAGUUGAAUAAUUGAUUAAAUUUCAAGAUGGAGCAAUCGAUAAUUUUUUUAGUAGCAUUGAACAACCACAAAAUAAAGACGUAGUUAAUAAAAGAAAGUUUAAUGAGAAUGAUAUGGAGAUAUGAUGAUUAGAAAAAUACUGGUGAAAGACUUACAACAUAUGAAGAGAGUUGUGACCAAGUCGCUAAUAUGAGUGGAUGAAUCAUAAUGAAAAUACGAUUUGAAAAGAGUGAAAUAGUUGAUUGGUGUGUAGAAACAAAUUAAUAAGAUAAAAAAAAUAUUGAAGAUAAGUAUUAUUGAGAAUCGUAUAUGUGAUGAGAACUCUUGCUGAGAAUAAUUUAACAUUUUGUAGCAAUAAUGAAAAGACAUACCAAGAAAAUAAUAUCUUCUUAAACCUAAUUCAAAUUAUUGGUAAAUUUGAUCUUGUAAUACGAGAAUAUUUUUGAUGAAUGCAAAAUUAAGAGAUUCAUUAUCAUUAUCUUGGGUACAAAAUUCUAAAGGAGUUGAUGUUUAUGCUAGUUGGUGAGAUCAAGGAAAUAAUUAUUGAGAGACAAAGUAUUGAAGUAAUAAUCUAUUAUACUUAAUUGCACUUCAGAUUUGAGUAACGAAGAAUAAAUGCCUAUAGUAUUGAGUAGAUAUUUCAACAAGUCAAGUGAAAGUAUAAUACUUUUUAAGAUAUUUAUUGUUAGAUGAUACAUCUAGGAAUGAACAUUUUGAAGAAUUUGUAUAUGCUUUGAAUAAUCUAGAACUUGAUAUUGAUGAUGUAAGGGGUUAAGGCCGUGAUAACGGUGAUAACAUGAGAAGAAAACAUAAAGGAAUGUAGAGUAUUAUAAUUAAAUUCUAAAGCAUUCUGCAUUCCUUGUGGGUGUCAAUAUUCUUAAUCUUACACUUUAAGAUAUGGUAACCCAUUGUUCAAAGCCUAAAUCUUUCUUGAAGUGGUGCAGUACAAAUAUAAUGUAAAUGGCCUUAUCAUUAAGCCUUUGUCGCAAAUAUGUUGGAAAAGCCAUUAUGAAAGUACUAGUGCAAUAAGAUUCCAAACUACACAAUAGAAAAUGCUCUACUUCAACCGAUAAGUGUUGUUGAUCCUAAGAUAAAAAGUGAGGAGUAUGUUUACUAAUAUAGAAAUUGAGAAUUUUGAAUUCAUACUAGGGAUGGUUAUUUGGUAUGAAAUGUUAAAUAAUGUUGAUGGGGAUAGAAUUAUAUUUUUAGUUGAAUGUUUUAAUGGAAACAAUAAUUACAAAUACUAAUGGCGUAGUUCAUAUGUUAGAUUACAUCAAAAGAAUGAAUUUUUGUUUUGCAAAUGCUUGGUUGCACAUAGAGUAUUAUUGACUAUUUAUGUCAUCAUUGCAUAUGCAUAAAGAAGUUUUUCAAAGUUGAUUAAGUCUUAUUUUCGAUCAACUAUGUAACAAGGAUGAUUGAAUAGAUUAGCUUAGAUUUCUAUAAAAAAUUGACUUGCGUAGUUUGAUUAUUAAUUUUACAUCUAAAAAUGUGAGAAGGCUAAAAAAUUUGAAGAGAUUAGCUUAUAUAUCUAUAAAAAAUGCUAGUCUAUUCCCUUUGGUUGUGAGAGAUAUUAUUUUGCUACUUUAUCUUUCGAAUUGUACAGAGUCUUCAUUAUAUAUAUAUAUAUAUAUAUAUAUAAAAUUAAAAUAUUUAUGUAUUUCUGCAUUUGUAGAAGAAAAAAAAAAUGUUUAGAGGUCUCAUAAUAUUUAGUUGCUUUAGUUCUCAAAAUUCUCAGGCUUGUUUACCAAUAACAAAGAGAAAAUUAUAUAACAGAUUGAGGAUCAAAGAAUUGCAUAUAACUUUGAGAAGUGGCAAAGUGGAUAAUAUUGAGUUUGAUAUUGAAGGUGGCACGAAUUCUUUGAUUAGUUACAAUGGAAGUCUGGUUUUGCUCGACGAGAAAAAUGACUUACACGAAAACUGAUGUUUAGUGGAAUGACAUCUAGAUGAAAUGUAUGUGCACUAUUGAGGAGAAGACAAGUGGCUAAUCAUGUUUUUUCUAGUUGAUAUUCAUCCACUCUCUGUACAUUCUUUUGAUGAACUUUCUGAGAAUGGCUGCUGUCUAGUUAAUGUUUAACUAAGUUCUUGAAAGGAGAAAUAUUCAUGAAUCUUCUCUUAUUAGUCCCCUAGAAGGAUAUUCACUGGAAUAAUUAUUUGUACUAGUGGCAGAAUGUAACAGA
This 6748-nucleotide long non-coding RNA is filed under the name Olea europaea subsp. europaea. The record is from RNAcentral. Lineage: Eukaryota; Viridiplantae; Streptophyta; Magnoliopsida; Lamiales; Oleaceae.